RNAcentral lists this unclassified non-coding RNA (496 nucleotides) under Hevea brasiliensis (rubber tree). The record is from RNAcentral. Lineage: Eukaryota; Viridiplantae; Streptophyta; Magnoliopsida; Malpighiales; Euphorbiaceae.
AAUAGCUAAGGAAAGGUUUUAUGUACACUUUUCACAGUAAAAAAUGAUGUAAAAUAUUAAAUUUUGAAGUUAUAAGUCUAACAAUUGUGUAGAAAAAGAAUCGACUAAAUCAGUUGAUUUCUAUCAAAUCGUAAGAUUCGGUUAAGAUUUAGGUACAUUUGAGAUUCACCUUAUGGAUUCGAAUUGCUAGGUCAGGGAAUCGAAUCAAAUUGUAAUAUUCUAAUAGAGAAUCAUAAGAUUUUAACAAUAGUGAAUGCAAUCCUUCAGUUAGUUAAAAGGAGAGGAUGAAGAUAUUGCAAUGUAGCUUAUGCAUUCAUUGGUAGAGGAACUUAGCAUUAUGACUUUUAGUUGUGCGCCCCCGCUUUCCUGCGCAACUUUUAUGUUCCUUUUGUGGCUUUCUUGUUUUCUAGUCCUUUCCUUUGAAUCAAGUCAUAGACUUGUUUCUUAAGCACAUUAUUAGUUUCAACAUAUGAACAUGAAAAUAUUUAGGUCUUGG